Molecule: non-coding RNA, 1176 nt
Organism: Oncorhynchus mykiss (rainbow trout)
Lineage: Eukaryota; Metazoa; Chordata; Actinopteri; Salmoniformes; Salmonidae
Source: RefSeq, a predicted model, not a curated record
AGUUUAUAUGGUAUCAGGGUGAGGUGUAGUAGGUGUGGCUUUUCAAAUGACCUUUGACCAUUGACCAAGGGGUCGUGUAUGUUUUAUGAUGAUGAGGUAAAUGUUCAAUUUAAAAGUUUAUUUUAAUUUUGUUAAAGACAAUACAAAUCUAACUACAUGUUUCUGAAUCUGCACGUCUAACAGUGGUUCAUAUAUUUGAACCACUGUUAGACGGAUGAUUUGAGGCCUGAAUGCUGAUUGACUGAAAGCUGUGGAAUGUCAGACCAACAAAAUAUUUAUUUGUACCGCUCUAGUUACGUUGGUAACCAGUUUAUAAUAGCAAUAAGGCACCUCGGGGGGUUGUAAUUUAUGGCCGAUAUACCAAAAGGCAAAGGGCUGUGUCCUAGCACUCCGCAAGAACAGCCCUUAGCCGUUGUUUAUUGGCCAUAUAUCACUCCCCCUCGGGCCUUAUUGCUUAAAUAUAGCGUGUUGAUUUGUUAUUAUGCAUUACUGCAUCCAGGAGCGCCUUCUUACGGUUUUCCUGCAUGCUCAAGUCAUUGUGAUGCACUGGGAGAGGAGCGAGAAAUCUCAUCCAAUAAAACAACCUGAUCUCCGAAGUCCACGUUUUUAAUCUCAAUCACACACCGCGGGGCGGUACAGCACCGGUUACAUUGGUGCCUUCUAGACCCGGAUUCAUCGAUGAUCAACGUCAGCUCGGUCACCGUGGAGCUGCUGCUCUAGAGACUGUUUACAUCAUGAGCAGCAGGCGGGUCUGAGUCUGCUGAUCAGUGUGAUCAAAGACCUCGUGGAAGACCUCAAUCUGAUUGGACACGGCUUCCUGGACUUGCUCAGCUCAACCCGCCCUGCCCUUUUCACUGUCCGUCUGAGCUGGAUUCAAAUAGUAUUUGCUUUCUUUCAAAUACUUUGAGCAUUUGAUUGAUCCGGUCUGAUGCACGGUUGCACAUUAUGGGACUAUUGGACGGCAGGUAAAGUAUUUUAAAAUUAAAGGGAUGUUUAUUUAAACCAGGUCUGAUGCUGAUAACCAUUGUUAAAGAGACAUGCCACUUUGUUGGCAACACAUCUCUCUUUCUGUGUUUCCCACUCAAAGCUCCCAUCCAUCUGAACUAAGAUGUGACUGUUUUGAGUUGUUCAAUAUGUUGGGUGAUAUUCAACAAAUAAAUAUGAGAAUACUGCACA